Molecule: ribosomal RNA, 497 nt
Filed under: uncultured bacterium
Lineage: Bacteria
Description: partial 16S ribosomal RNA
Rfam family: Bacterial small subunit ribosomal RNA
Source: RNAcentral
GAUGAACGCUGGCGGCGUGCCUAAUACAUGCAAGUCGAGCGAACGGACGAGAAGCUUGCUUCUCUGAUGUUAGCGGCGGACGGGUGAGUAACACGUGGAUAACCUACCUAUAAGACUGGGAUAACUUCGGGAAACCGGAGCUAAUACCGGAUAAUAUUUUGAACCGCAUGGUUCAAAAGUGAAAGGCGGUCUUGCUGUCACUUAUAGAUGGAUCCGCGCUGCAUUAGCUAGUUGGUAAGGUAACGGCUUACCAAGGCAACGAUGCAUAGCCGACCUGAGAGGGUGAUCGGCCACACGGGAACGGAGACACGGUCCAGACUCCUACGGGAGGCAGCAGUAGGGAAUCUUCCGCAAUGGGCGAAAGCCUGACGGAGCAACGCCGCGUGAGUGAUGAAGGUCUUCGGAUCGUAAAACUCUGUUAUUAGGGAAGAACAUAUGUGUAAGUAACUGUGCACAUCUUGACGGUACCUAAUCAGAAAGCCACGGCUAACUACGUG